This 253-nucleotide ribosomal RNA is filed under the name uncultured bacterium. RNAcentral's name for it is "partial 16S ribosomal RNA". It matches the Rfam family "Bacterial small subunit ribosomal RNA", at positions 524 to 776 of the family's 1533-position model. The record is from RNAcentral.
UACGGAGGAGGCAAGCGUUAUCCGGAAUGAUUGGGCGUAAAGCGUCCGCAGGUGGCAGUUCAAGUCUGCUGUCAAAGACCGGGGCUUAACUUCGGAAAGGCAGUGGAAACUGAACAGCUAGAGUAUGGUAGGGGCAGAGGGAAUUCCUGGUGUAGCGGUGAAAUGCGUAGAUAUCAGGAAGAACAUCGGUGGCGAAGGCGCUCUGCUGGACCAUAACUGACGCUCAGGGACGAAAGCUAGGGGAGCGAAUGGG